Molecule: ribosomal RNA, 275 nt
Filed under: uncultured bacterium
Lineage: Bacteria
Description: partial 16S ribosomal RNA
Rfam family: Bacterial small subunit ribosomal RNA
Source: RNAcentral
CCUACGGGACGCAGCAGUCGGGAAUAUUGCGCAAUGGAGGAAACUCUGACGCAGUGACGCCGCGUAUAGGAAGAAGGUUUUCGGAUUGUAAACUAUUGUCGUGAGGGAAGAAAUUGACAGUACCUCAGGAGGAAGCCCCGGCUAACUACGUGCCAGCAGCCGCGGUAAUACGUAGGGGGCAAGCGUUAUCCGGAUUUACUGGGUGUAAAGGGAGCGUAGACGGAAAGGCAAGUCAGAAGUGAAAACCCAAGGCUCAACCAUGGGACUGCUUUUGA